ACGAGUUCGAAAGUCGGUCGACCGUGCUGGCGGAGACGCACGUGCACGUCGGUCGCGAACCAUCCACACACCCGUGAACCUAUGGCCGGGGGUCUCAGAUCCCCGGCACCAAAUAUCACACUCUGUUCGUAAAGGAAUGUAAACGUGAUAACGUAUCUUAUAA
This 163-nucleotide unclassified non-coding RNA is filed under the name uncultured Sebacina. Its description in RNAcentral is "sequence contains ITS1". The record is from RNAcentral. Lineage: Eukaryota; Fungi; Basidiomycota; Agaricomycetes; Sebacinales; Sebacinaceae.